This 777-nucleotide long non-coding RNA is filed under the name Fragaria vesca (wild strawberry). Its description in RNAcentral is "long non-coding RNA (FVES_LNC001789)". Lineage: Eukaryota; Viridiplantae; Streptophyta; Magnoliopsida; Rosales; Rosaceae. The record is from RNAcentral.
CCAUCUCCUCCUCCACCAUACCACUACACCUCCCCACCUCCACCUUCUCCAUCUCCUCCCCCACCAUACGCUUACAAGUCUCCACCACCUCCUUCACCCUCUCCUCCUCCUCCAUACGUCUACAAGUCACCUCCACCUCCGGUGAAAUCUCCUCCACCACCGGUGUACAUUUACGCCUCUCCCCCACCUCCCACUCACUACUAGGCUCAAACACGUGCAUAGACCAAUCAUGUAAGUCGUCGAAUUUAGUCUCUGUUUUUGUUUUCACUUUAUUAAUUACCAAUGUAACAUUUUAAUCUAAACUUACUAAUUAACAAUGUAAUUGCAGGUUUUAAUUUAAGCAGCAGAAUAAAGGAAGGCUCCAUGAGCCGAAAGCAGAGACACCAAGCUUCCAAUCCAAGUCCAUUGUUGUCGACGGUGAAGAACAAGGGUCUGGCAGAAACAUCAGCCAUGACCAGCAACCUCAUCUUCCACAUGCUCUUACUAUACUCAUCAUCCAAAUCGGGAAUUUAAAGCAUUCAUCUUGGUCUUGGAAGGAACUAAUAAUUUGGCUUGGUCGUCUCAGUGUCGUCAUUUUUUCAUUUCUAAAUUAUAUUUCAUUGUAUAGGGUAGCAGUUACAUGGCCUUUUUUUUUUUUUUUCAAUUGUAUGAUUGGCUUCUAUUUAUUGUGAGGAUAAAUGUUUCUUUAGGCAUUCACUGAAUUAUUUAUCAAUAAAAAUGAUGAAUUACUUUCACUCUGUCUUCUACUAUCUGGCUUCAUAUCUAGCUAGCUUUUUG